AAAAUAAUUAAAUUAUAUAUAUUUUUUUAUUUUUCAUACUAUUGAAAGAUUAUAGCAUCAUAAGUGCUGAUGGUGAUGGCAUAAUAGCGUCAAUAAUGACAGUUAUAGUAUUAUGGUGCUUAUAAUAUUAUCAAUUUAACUAUUAAUAAAACUAAAAAAUAGAUUAGAAUUAAUUACUCAUCUGAAAUUUAAAUAAAUGUAUAUGAAUAAUCAAAAGAUUAGUUUGCUGUUCACUGUCUGCAUGGGUUGGUUUUAGACCUAACGGGUAGUGCUGAUUCAGUUGAAGUGAGUUUGCUCCAUGUAGUUAAGAGAGUUUUUCUAAAUUUGGCUGCUAAGUAUUUUCAAGAUUUGCUUCUACAUCAUGACUAAGAAGGUCAUCCCGGUUGGUUUCAUGUGCCUUGAGUUUUGCGACAACACUCUUUCAUGGUAUGGAGUUAAACUUGCGGCCUCUAAAAAGGUUUGGAAGUUUACUCUAAUUGAUGGUUUUACUGUGCAAGGAAGGAUGACCAUCGUAGCGCCUUGUGUUGCAGGGCUGCAUUUGUUUGGUUUCGAUCUCUGCUCAGUUCUUCCAUUGAUUGGCAACUUGGGCGGUGGACAAAAGGUGGUCAUGGUUCUUACACUUCUUUCCCUGCAAUCUUAGGGUUCUAAGUUGGGAAGAGUAUGUUAAUGGGUUAAGUUUUUGUUUGGGUUUGAUUGGGCUUUUGAACUGGGCUGGCUGUGAAUCUUCAGAGUGGGCUUUCUUUCUUUAAGCGAAUAACAUACAUUUGUCCUUUUAGGGAAGAAAAGAAAAUUAGACACUUUCUAUGUUGGUGGAGAUUUAAUUAACAUUUUUAUGUUAUGAAUGUGGGAAAAUUUUU
RNAcentral lists this unclassified non-coding RNA (857 nucleotides) under Hevea brasiliensis (rubber tree). Lineage: Eukaryota; Viridiplantae; Streptophyta; Magnoliopsida; Malpighiales; Euphorbiaceae. The record is from RNAcentral.